CAGUCGCCGCGGGAAUACGUAGGGUGCAAGCGUUAAUCAGAAUUACUGGGCGUAAGGCGUGCGCAGGCGGUUUGUUAAGACGGAUGUGAGAUCCCCGGGCUCAACCUGGGAACUGCAUUCGUGACUGGCAAGCUAGAGUACGGCAGAGGGGGGUGGAAUUCCACGUGUAGCAGUGAAAUGCGUAGAGAUGUGGAGGAACACCGAUGGCGAAGGCAGCCCCCUGGGCCAAUACUGACGCUCAUGCACGAAAGCGUGGGGAGCAAACAGGAUUAGAUACCCCCGUAGUCCCUGUCUCUUAUAC
Molecule: ribosomal RNA, 301 nt
Filed under: uncultured bacterium
Lineage: Bacteria
Description: partial 16S ribosomal RNA
Rfam family: Bacterial small subunit ribosomal RNA
Source: RNAcentral